GCGGGAAUAGCUCAGUUGGUAGAGCGCAACCUUGCCAAGGUUGAAGUCGCGGGUUCGAGUCCCGUUUCCCGCUCUA
This 76-nucleotide transfer RNA is filed under the name Ignavibacteriales bacterium. RNAcentral's name for it is "tRNA-Gly". It matches the Rfam family "tRNA". From Rfam's summary of the family: Transfer RNA (tRNA) molecules are approximately 80 nucleotides in length. Their secondary structure includes four short double-helical elements and three loops (D, anti-codon, and T loops). Lineage: Bacteria; Pseudomonadati; Ignavibacteriota; Ignavibacteria; Ignavibacteriales. The record is from RNAcentral. RNAcentral also lists the same sequence under 1 other name.